ACUCUUAAACAAUUACAGAGCGC
Molecule: small nuclear RNA, 23 nt
Filed under: Arabidopsis thaliana (thale cress)
Lineage: Eukaryota; Viridiplantae; Streptophyta; Magnoliopsida; Brassicales; Brassicaceae
Description: snRNA_12387
Source: RNAcentral